RNAcentral lists this ribosomal RNA (484 nucleotides) under uncultured bacterium. RNAcentral describes it as "partial 16S ribosomal RNA". It matches the Rfam family "Bacterial small subunit ribosomal RNA", at positions 29 to 507 of the family's 1533-position model. The record is from RNAcentral.
AUUGAACGCUGGCGGCAGGCCUAACACAUGCAAGUCGAACGGAAGAAGGAAGCUUGUUGCUGUUUCGAGGGGGGGAGGGGGGAGGGAGGCCUAUGAAUGUGACAGUGAGUGGGGGAGAAGGUUAGGUAACGGAAGCGGAUACUACUAACGCACAGAGUCGGAAGGUGGGGGAGCGUGGGAUCCCACGCUCUCAGAUGAGCCUAGGUCGGAUUAGCUAGUUGGUGGGGUAAAGGCCAACCUAGGCGACGAUCCGUAGCUGGUCUGAGAGGAUGAGCAGCCACACUGGAACUGAGACACGGUCCAGACUCCUACGGGAGGCAGCAGUGGGGAAUAUUGCACAAUGGGCGCAAGCCUGAUGCAGCCAUGCCGCGUGUGUGAAGAAGGUCUUCGGAUUGUAAAGUACUUUAAGCUGGGAGGAAGGGAAUAAAGUUAAUACCUUGACUUAUUGACGUUACCAACAGAAGAAGCACCGGCUAACUUCGUG